RNAcentral lists this unclassified non-coding RNA (342 nucleotides) under soil metagenome. RNAcentral's name for it is "partial contains 5.8S ribosomal RNA, internal transcribed spacer 2, and large subunit ribosomal RNA". The stretch from base 1 to 120 matches the Rfam family "5.8S ribosomal RNA", at positions 35 to 154 of the family's 154-position model. The record is from RNAcentral.
GAUGAAGAACACAGUGAAAUGCGAUAAGUAAUGUGAAUUGCAGAAUUCAGUGAAUCAUCGAAUCUUUGAACGCACAUUGCGCCCGCCAGCAUUCUGGCGGGCAUGCCUGUUCGAGCGUCAUUUCAACCCUCGAGCCCCCCCGGGGGCCUCGGUGUUGGGGGACGGCACACCAGCCGCCCCCGAAAUGCAGUGGCGACCUCGCCGCAGCCUCCCCUGCGUAGUAGCACACACCUCGCACCGGAGCGCGGAGACGGUCACGCCGUAAAACGCCCAACUUCUUAGAGUUGACCUCGGAUCAGGUAGGAAUACCCGCUGAACUUAAGCAUAUCAAUAAGCGGAGGA